UCUGGGUUCACUCGGAAAAUAUUUUAAGUAUAAAAGAUAAAUUUGCCUAUGGCAGAAAUAGUUUGUUGAUGUGGCAUUUUCUGUGUUACUAUUUUAUGCAUUUGUGUAAGCGGAAAAGAAUAUUGUUAGAACAACAGAGAUUUCAAUCUUAAUUGUUGAUAUACUUCAGUACCAAUGUUAAUUUUCACCUAUUUUUACAGCCUGGGUAGAAGGGGAGCUUCGUCAUGACCGCCUGCUAGCACCACAUUAUAGAUACUAUGUCAGAGAAAUGCGAAUUCUUGCAUACACACAGUUGUUAGAGUCUUACCGUUCUCUCACUCUGCAGUAUAUGGCAACAGCUUUUGGAGUUUCAACAGAGUUUAUUGACAGGGAACUGUCUCGUUAUAUUGCUGCUGGUCGACUUCACUGCAAGAUUGACAAAGUUGGUGGGAUUGUUGAAACUAACAGACCAGAUUCCAAGAACUGGCAGUACCAAGCAGUAAUCAAGCAUGGUGAUAUUCUUUUAAACAGAGUCCAGAAGCUCAGCAGAGUUAUUAACAUUUAGUGAAAUAUAUGAUUUAAGUGUAUGAGAGUACAAUGCAAUGGAAGUGUAAAGUAUCUUCACUAUAUUCAUUGAACUUUUAUUUUCUCAGAAUGUACGAGGUGAUGUACUGGUCUGGUUUUAUUUAAUAAAAUGUUGGUUAGAUUA
Long non-coding RNA from Macrobrachium nipponense, 688 nucleotides. RefSeq lists it as uncharacterized. The record is from RefSeq and is a predicted model, not a curated record. Lineage: Eukaryota; Metazoa; Arthropoda; Malacostraca; Decapoda; Palaemonidae. The transcript is spliced from 2 exons.